This 500-nucleotide ribosomal RNA is filed under the name uncultured bacterium. RNAcentral describes it as "bacterial SSU rRNA". It matches the Rfam family "Bacterial small subunit ribosomal RNA", at positions 62 to 543 of the family's 1533-position model. The record is from RNAcentral.
UCGAGCGAACUGAUUAGAAGCUUGCUUCUAUGACGUUAGCGGCGGACGGGUGAGUAACACGUGGGCAACCUGCCUGUAAGACUGGGAUAACUUCGGGAAACCGAAGCUAAUACCGGAUAGGAUCUUCUCCUUCAUGGGAGAUGAUUGAAAGAUGGUUUCGGCUAUCACUUACAGAUGGGCCCGCGGUGCAUUAGCUAGUUGGUGAGGUAACGGCUCACCAAGGCAACGAUGCAUAGCCGACCUGAGAGGGUGAUCGGCCACACUGGGACUGAGACACGGCCCAGACUCCUACGGGAGGCAGCAGUAGGGAAUCUUCCGCAAUGGACGAAAGUCUGACGGAGCAACGCCGCGUGAGUGAUGAAGGCUUUCGGGUCGUAAAACUCUGUUGUUAGGGAAGAACAAGUACGAGAGUAACUGCUCGUACCUUGACGGUACCUAACCAGAAAGCCACGGCUAACUACGUGCCAGCAGCCGCGGUAAUACGUAGGUGGCAAGCGUUA